Molecule: unclassified non-coding RNA, 337 nt
Filed under: soil metagenome
Description: partial contains 5.8S ribosomal RNA, internal transcribed spacer 2, and large subunit ribosomal RNA
Rfam family: 5.8S ribosomal RNA (bases 1-120)
Source: RNAcentral
GAUGAAGAACGUAGCGAAAUGCGAUAAGUAGUGUGAAUUGCAGAAUUCAGUGAAUCAUCGAAUCUUUGAACGCACAUUGCGCCCCUUGGUAUUCCAUGGGGCAUGCUUGUUCGAGCGUCAUUUGUACCUUCAAGCUUUGCUUGGUGUUGGGUGUUUGUCUCGCCUCCGCGUGUAGACUCGCCUCAAAACAAUUGGCAGCCGGCGUAUUGAUUUCGGAGCGCAGUACAUCUCGCGCUUUGCACUCACAACGACGACGUCCAAAAGUACAUUUUUACACUCUUGACCUCGGAUCAGGUAGGGAUACCCGCUGAACUUAAGCAUAUCAAUAAGCGGAGGA